AUUGAACGCUGGCGGCAGGCCUAACACAUGCAAGUCGAAUGGUAACAGGAAACAGCUUGCUGUUUCGCUGACGAGUGGCGGACGGGUGAGUAAUGUCUGGGAAACUGCCUGAUGGAGGGGGAUAACUACUGGAAACGGUAGCUAAUACCGCAUAACGUCGCAAGACCAAAGAGGGGGACCUUCGGGCCUCUUGCCAUCAGAUGUGCCCAGAUGGGAUUAGCUAGUAGGUGGGGUAACGGCUCACCUAGGCGACGAUCCCUAGCUGGUCUGAGAGGAUGACCAGCCACACUGGAACUGAGACACGGUCCAGACUCCUACGGGAGGCAGCAGUGGGGAAUAUUGCACAAUGGGCGCAAGCCUGAUGCAGCCAUGCCGCGUGUAUGAAGAAGGCCUUCGGGUUGUAAAGUACUUUCAGCGGGGAGGAAGGGAGUAAAGUUAAUACCUUUGCUCAUUGACGUUACCCGCAGAAGAAGCACCGGCUAACUCCGG
This 489-nucleotide ribosomal RNA is filed under the name uncultured bacterium. RNAcentral describes it as "partial 16S ribosomal RNA". It matches the Rfam family "Bacterial small subunit ribosomal RNA", at positions 30 to 506 of the family's 1533-position model. The record is from RNAcentral.